UUUUAGGCCGCAGCAGCUGGUGGAUGGCGAAGGCCGCAACAGCUCGACUCCUCCUCUUUUCUCUCCCGCCAAGAAGAAGCACCAGACAGCUGGGGAGGUUCUAGACCUUCAUGCAGGUAAAUUGGUGUCAAUUAGCAGCAAUGGACUAGGACAUCAGCUGUGUGCGCUCGAGUACCAGGAAGCAAGCCAAUAGUGUCUGCUCCAAGGUUGCCAGUUGUGAUUCUGGUCACUUUUCAAGCAGAGAAGCAUGAUGAAAAUAGAUUUUGUUAUGAUGGUCUUACUACGCCGAGAUGCUUGCUCAGAGCUCAUGGAUCACGCACGAAGAAAUGAGGAGGAUUCUGUUGCCCAAAUGUGGUCCGAGUGGGGUGUUAUGAUGGGAUGAUGCUCUUACAGUAUUUUGGGCCAUUGACAUACAACCAGGUUACUACCGUUCCUUGACAAGAUGAACAUAUGAAAGUCUGUUAUAUUUUAUUCCGUUACUAUUAUGAUGAUUCGUUUGUAGUUGUACUACUUCUCAGUUUGCCUUUAACAUGAAAACACUGACUGGUUGCAGUUAACAGAGCUCUCCUAAAAAUUCUACCAGCAUUUCUUUUGUCAUUUCAA
Long non-coding RNA from Lolium rigidum, 603 nucleotides. RefSeq lists it as uncharacterized. The transcript has 5 exons. The record is from RefSeq and is a predicted model, not a curated record. Lineage: Eukaryota; Viridiplantae; Streptophyta; Magnoliopsida; Poales; Poaceae.